ACGAUGAUCACUCGCUCUUGGCGAUAUGCUGUCAGGGGCCAAGCGAAAGCGUUAAGUGAUCCACCUGGGGAGUACGGCCGCAAGGCUGAAACUCAAAGGAAUUGACGGGGGCCCGCACAAGCGGAGGAACAUGUGGUUUAAUUCGAUGAUACGCGAGGAACCUUACCUGGGCUAGAACGGCAUACGAAUUAAGAGGGAAACCUUUUAAGCCUUUACGGCGUAUGUCGAGGUGCUGCAUGGCUGUCGUCAG
This 250-nucleotide ribosomal RNA is filed under the name uncultured bacterium. RNAcentral's name for it is "partial 16S ribosomal RNA". It matches the Rfam family "Bacterial small subunit ribosomal RNA", at positions 806 to 1058 of the family's 1533-position model. The record is from RNAcentral.